AGUGAACGCUGGCGGUAGGCCUAACACAUGCAAGUCGAACGGCAGCACAGUAAGAGCUUGCUCUUACGGGUGGCGAGUGGCGGACGGGUGAGGAAUACAUCGGAAUCUACUUUUUCGUGGGGGAUAACGUAGGGAAACUUACGUUAAUACCGCAUACGACCUACGGGUGAAAGCAGGGGAUCUUCGGACCUUGCGCGAUUGAAUGAGCCGAUGUCGGAUUAGCUAGUUGGCGGGGUAAGGGCCCACCAAGGCGACGAUCCGUAGCUGGUCUGAGAGGAUGAUCAGCCACACUGGAACUGAGACACGGUCCAGACUCCUACGGGAGGCAGCAGUGGGGAAUAUUGGACAAUGGGCGCAAGCCUGAUCCAGCCAUACCGCGUGGGUGAAGAAGGCCUUCGGGUUGUAAAGCCCUUUUGUUGGGAAAGAAAAGCAGCAGGUUAAUACCCCGCUGUUCUGACGGUACCCAAAGAAUAAGCACCGGCUAACUUCGUG
RNAcentral lists this ribosomal RNA (492 nucleotides) under uncultured bacterium. RNAcentral's name for it is "partial 16S ribosomal RNA". It matches the Rfam family "Bacterial small subunit ribosomal RNA", at positions 29 to 507 of the family's 1533-position model. The record is from RNAcentral.